Long non-coding RNA from Syngnathus typhle (broad-nosed pipefish), 354 nucleotides. RefSeq lists it as uncharacterized. The record is from RefSeq and is a predicted model, not a curated record. The transcript is spliced from 3 exons. Lineage: Eukaryota; Metazoa; Chordata; Actinopteri; Syngnathiformes; Syngnathidae.
CGUUGUCGGAUGUAAUCAUUAACUCAGCUGGAGCUGAGCGAGGAGCCAAUGGGGAAGCGGGAAGUGUCACAGUGCAAACAAACUUUUUUUUUCCUCGAUAUAUCUUUGGUGAGCUUCUCAACCGCCACACUUCCUGCUCGAAAUUAAACUACACUCCAGUGGCCUGUCCGGCGUCAUUGAAGAAGUAUUGAAAUCAUUUUUGUCCAGUCAGAGAAGCCGCCGCAGACAUGGUAGGAAGUGCAACCGUGAACUCUGCAGGCAGGUGGAGGGAGAGACGCAGAGUGCAGCAAAACGGCAAACAUACACAAGAGAGAGAAGACAAAUAAGUUAGAUGUGAAGCGAGCGUCCAACCAC